UACAGAGGUCUCAAGCGUUGUUCGGAAUUACUGGGCGUAAAGCGCGUGCAGGCGGCCUUGCAAGUCGGACGUGAAAUCCCACGGCUCAACCGUGGAAGUGCAUUCGAAACUGCGAGGCUGGAGUCCUGGAGAGGAAAGUGGAAUACUCGGUGUAGAGGUGAAAUUCGUAGAUAUCGAGUGGAACACCGGUGGCGAAGGCGGCUUUCUGGACAGGUACUGACGCUGAGACGCGAAAGCGUGGGGAGCAAACAGG
This 253-nucleotide ribosomal RNA is filed under the name uncultured bacterium. Its description in RNAcentral is "partial 16S ribosomal RNA". It matches the Rfam family "Bacterial small subunit ribosomal RNA", at positions 524 to 776 of the family's 1533-position model. The record is from RNAcentral.